RNAcentral lists this ribosomal RNA (800 nucleotides) under uncultured bacterium. RNAcentral describes it as "bacterial SSU rRNA". It matches the Rfam family "Bacterial small subunit ribosomal RNA", at positions 8 to 796 of the family's 1533-position model. The record is from RNAcentral.
AGAGUUUGAUCAUGGCUCAGGACGAACGCUGGCGGCGUGCCUAACACAUGCAAGUCGAGCGGAAAGGCCCCUUCGGGGGUACUCGAGCGGCGAACGGGUGAGUAACAUGUGGGUAAUCUGCCCUGGACACAGGAACAACCAGUGGAAACGCUGGCUAAUGCCUGAUGACGUGCCGCCCCCUCGGGGGUCGGCACCAAAGGUAGCUUCGGCCUCCGGUCCUGGAUGAGCCCGCGGCCCAUUAGCUUGUUGGCGGGGUAACGGCCCACCAAGGCGACGAUGGGUAGCUGGUCUGAGAGGACGAUCAGCCACACUGGGACUGAGACACGGCCCAGACUCCUACGGGAGGCAGCAGUGGGGAAUCUUGCGCAAUGGGCGAAAGCCUGACGCAGCAACGCCGCGUGCGGGAAGAAGGCCUUCGGGUUGUAAACCGCUUUCAGCAGGGACGAAGGCGAGCGGGUUAAUAGCCCGUCAGUUGACUGUACCUGCAGAAGAAGGCCCGGCUAACUACGUGCCAGCAGCCGCGGUAAUACGUAGGGGCCGAGCGUUGUCCGGAAUCAUUGGGCGUAAAGAGCGUGUAGGCGGCCCUCUAAGUCCUGCGUGAAAUCCUGCGGCUCAACCGCAGGCGGUCGUGGGAAACUGGGGGGCUCGAGUGCGGGAGAGGAGAGUGGAAUUCCCGGUGUAGCGGUGAAAUGCGCAGAUAUCGGGAAGAACACCCGUGGCGAAGGCGGCUCUCUGGAACGCAACUGACGCUGAGACGCGAAAGCGUGGGGAGCAAACAGGAUUAGAUACCCUAGUAGUCC